UCCCAGACUCCUACGGGAGGCAGCAGUGAGGAAUAUUGGUCAAUGGCCGCAGGGCUGAACCAGCCAAGUCGCGUGAGGGAUGACGGUCCUAUGGAUUGUAAACCUCUUUUGUCGGGGAGCAAAGCGAACCACGUGUGGUUCAUUGAGAGUACCCGAAGAAAAAGCAUCGGCUAACUCCGUGCCAGCAGCCGCGGUAAUACGGAGGAUGCGAGCGUUAUCCGGAUUUAUUGGGUUUAAAGGGUGCGCAGGCGGAGGUGCAAGUCAGCGGUCAAAUUGCGGGGCUCAACCCCGUACUGCCGUUGAAACUGCAUCCCUUGAGUGCGCGAGAAGUAUGCGGAAUGCGUGGUGUAGCGGUGAAAUGCAUAGAUAUCACGCAGAACUCCGAUUGCGAAGGCAGCAUACCGGCGCGCAACUGACGCUCAUGCACGAAAGCGUGGGUAUCGAACAGGAUUAGAUACCCAGUAUA
Molecule: ribosomal RNA, 466 nt
Filed under: uncultured bacterium
Lineage: Bacteria
Description: bacterial SSU rRNA
Rfam family: Bacterial small subunit ribosomal RNA
Source: RNAcentral